CCUACGGGGGGCAGCAGUAGGGAAUCUUCCACAAUGGGCGAAAGCCUGAUGGAGCAACGCCGCGUGGGUGAAGAAGGUCUUCGGAUCGUAAAACCCUGUUGUUAGAGAAGAAAGUGCGUGAGAGUAACUGUUCACGUUUCGACGGUAUCUAACCAGAAAGCCACGGCUAACUACGUGCCAGCAGCCGCGGUAAUACGUAGGGGGCAAGCGUUAUCCGGAUUUAUUGGGCGUAAAGCGAGUGAAGGCGGUUCAAUA
This 255-nucleotide ribosomal RNA is filed under the name uncultured bacterium. Its description in RNAcentral is "partial 16S ribosomal RNA". It matches the Rfam family "Bacterial small subunit ribosomal RNA", at positions 338 to 585 of the family's 1533-position model. The record is from RNAcentral.